CCUUUUUCUCUUAAAUCAUCUGGAUAUCUCAAAUGCAGUGCCACUAAUGAAAAUGGAAUUGGGACUGCAAUCUAUGCAAUUAGCAUUAGUGAUAUUGAUGGAAAUUUUGUCUUCAGAAUAUUGGCCAAAAAAAAACCACAGAAAUUUCUAGACGUUUGUCAACAGUUAGAGAUCAUUGAAAAUGAUGAUUUUUACCUAGAGUGUGGAGCGUUAGGUUUAGCUAUAAGAGAGUCAGCCUUGAAAGUCCAGAGUUGCCAGUAAAGGAGAAAGUUUCAAAUUACACCCUGGCCAAAUAUGUAGAGGCAAACAAAGUAGCUAUGAAUUUUAAAAGCCUUCGAUGCA
Penaeus monodon (black tiger shrimp) is the source of this 342-nucleotide long non-coding RNA. RefSeq lists it as uncharacterized. The record is from RefSeq and is a predicted model, not a curated record. The transcript has 3 exons. Lineage: Eukaryota; Metazoa; Arthropoda; Malacostraca; Decapoda; Penaeidae.